UACGGAGGGUGCAAGCGUUAUCCGGAUUCACUGGGUUUAAAGGGUGCGUAGGUGGGUCUGUAAGUCUGUGGUGAAAUCUCCGAGCUUAACUUGGAAACUGCCAUGGAUACUAUAGAUCUUGAAUACUGUGGAGGUUAGCGGAAUAUGUCAUGUAGCGGUGAAAUGCUUAGAUAUGACAUAGAACACCAAUUGCGAAGGCAGCUGGCUACACAAAUAUUGACACUGAUGCACGAAAGCGUGGGGAUCAAACAGG
Molecule: ribosomal RNA, 253 nt
Filed under: uncultured bacterium
Lineage: Bacteria
Description: partial 16S ribosomal RNA
Rfam family: Bacterial small subunit ribosomal RNA
Source: RNAcentral